Molecule: long non-coding RNA, 1047 nt
Filed under: Cervus hanglu yarkandensis (Yarkand deer)
Lineage: Eukaryota; Metazoa; Chordata; Mammalia; Artiodactyla; Cervidae
Description: lncRNA (ENSCHYG00000025631.1)
Source: RNAcentral
AUGGGUGGCCGCGCUCCUAAGAUGCCCAGCCCUUCCCCUGCCCGGUGGAUCCUCUGCUCCCGGCGCGGAGGGGUCCCGCGCCCGUGGGGGCGGAGGACGGGGACCCGGAAGAUACGGCGUCUCGGGAACAGGAAGGCGUCGGGCCGCGGGGUCCGCACCUCUGCUCCCCACGCGCUCGCCGCUAAGCCGGCCGAGAGCCACUGUCCCGUUUCCGCAGCAUCAGGGCCCCGGCUCCCGGACCGCGUCCAACCCGAGGUAGGCGGCCCCACUGGGGCCGGGAGGGGCGACGCGCGCCAAACGGCGGCGGGAAGGAGGCGGGGCGGAGCGCGCCCCGGGACCCCGACUCGCAAGCGGCCAGCUGGGGGGGCGGAGCGCCGGAUGGCAACCUUGGCCCCAGCCUGGCCCUGUCGCCCCGUGCUCCUCCUGCCAACGGCUGAGCGGCCCGCGCUGCCUUCCCGCCGGCCGGCUGCGGAAGGCGCUAACGCUGGCGGCCACCCCUCCCCGCGGCGCCUCCCCUCCCCGCGCCGAUAUAACCCGCCUCGGCGGCCGGAGCCCGCCCUGCGUCCGCGCCCGCGCCUGCCAGGCCGCACCCGCCUCUCGUCCCGCGCCCUCCCUGCGCCCACGAAGGGGUUACGCGGCGAAGCCCAGGCUAGCGCCAGGCGGCUCAGGCAUCGAUUCCCGGGGCUCCGACGGCACCAGUCGUCUGGAACUGCUGCUGCAGCUGCUAAGUCGCUUCAGUCGUAUCCGACUCUGUGCGACCCCAUAGACGGCAGCCCACCAGGCUCCUACAUCCCUGGGAUUCUCCAGGCAAGAACACUGGAGUGGGCUGCCAUUUCCUUCUCCAAUGCGUGAGAGUGAUGUCGCUCAGUCGUGUCCCACUCUUCGCCACCCCAUGGACUGUAGCCCACCAGGCUCCUCUGUCCAUGGGAUUUUCCAGGCAUGAGUACUGGAGUGGGUUGCCAUUGCCUUCUCCAUGUCGGGAACUAGCAGCAUCCAUUUGUGUGUAGCCAAAAUAAAGAAGCCACCUGAUGCAAAGAACUGACUCAU